RNAcentral lists this ribosomal RNA (361 nucleotides) under uncultured bacterium. RNAcentral's name for it is "bacterial SSU rRNA". It matches the Rfam family "Bacterial small subunit ribosomal RNA", at positions 355 to 733 of the family's 1533-position model. The record is from RNAcentral.
UAGGGAAUAUUGGUAAUGGGCGAAAGCCUGAACCAGCAACGCCGCGUGUGCGAUGAAGGCCUUCGGGUUGUAAAGCACUUUUGACCGGGACGAGGAAGGACGGUACCGGUGGAAUAAGCCUCGGCUAACUACGUGCCAGCAGCCGCGGUAAAACGUAGGAGGCGAGCGUUAUCCGGAUUGACUGGGUGUAAAGCGCGUGCAGGCGGUUAGCUAAGUUGGGUGUGAAAGCUCCUGGCUCAACUGGGAGAGGUCGAUCCAGACUGGCUGACUUGAGGAUGGUAGGGGAAGGUGGAAUUCCGGGUGUAGUGGUGAAAUGCGUAGGUAUCCGGAGAAACCCCAGUGGCGAAGGCGGCCUUCUGGA